Long non-coding RNA from Zingiber officinale, 579 nucleotides. RefSeq lists it as uncharacterized. The transcript has 2 exons. NCBI's taxonomy places the organism in Eukaryota, Viridiplantae, Streptophyta, Magnoliopsida, Zingiberales, Zingiberaceae. The record is from RefSeq and is a predicted model, not a curated record.
UGAUUAAAUCAAACCGAAGUUUUCUAACUAUUUUAUUUCCCUCUCCCGAGCCCUAUUUCUUCUCCCCGUCGCCGAAUCCCUUCCCUUCUCAUCAUCUUGCGACGCCAACUCCUCUCUUCUUCUCAACGAGCUCGCGACCUGGUGCCCUAAUCUCGCCGACUUCGCUCCUGGCCUUCCUCGCCUUCUUCGUUGAGCUCACGCCACCGAAUCCUCAACCUCUCGCGGCCCUACUUCUCACGCGGCCACCACAGCCGCGACCUUGCUUCCUCCAGCUAGCACCGAGACGCCGCACCAGUGCCGGUGUAACCGAGCCCCAGGCGCCCAUCCUCAUCUCUCCCGAGCCGUGCCCUAACGAAUCUGACAGGUAGCAGGUAGAUGAGUCAUGGAUGCUUGGAGAGUCCCAGCUGCCAGUCCCACGACACACUCGAGGAUAGUUUCUUUUCCGGUUUUGGUUGCUAAUGCUAUUUAUGUUUUGGUUUUGUGAACUUGGUAUUGUAUGCUUCGAUAUGAAUUUUGGAGUCCCGUCGGGUGGUUGCAACAUUUUUUGUUAGUGCCGUUGUUAGUUUUACGUUCGUAUCA